Molecule: ribosomal RNA, 449 nt
Filed under: uncultured bacterium
Lineage: Bacteria
Description: bacterial SSU rRNA
Rfam family: Bacterial small subunit ribosomal RNA
Source: RNAcentral
UGGGGAAUCUUGGACAAUGGGCGCAAGCCUGAUCCAGCCAUGCCGCGUGAGUGAAGAAGGCCUUCGGGUUGUAAAGCUCUUUUUACCAGGGACGAUAAUGACGGUACCUGGAGAAUAAGCCCCGGCAAACUUCGUGCCAGCAGCCGCGGUAAUACGAAGGGGGCUAGCGUUGUUCGGAAUUACUGGGCGUAAAGCGCACGUAGGCGGAUUGUUAAGUCAGAGGUGAAAUCCCGGAGCUCAACUUCGGAACUGCCUUUGAUACUGGCAAUCUAGAGUCCGGAAGAGGUUAGUGGAAUUCCCAGUGUAGAGGUGAAAUUCGUAGAUAUUGGGAAGAACACCAGUGGCGAAGGCGGCUAACUGGUCCGGUACUGACGCUGAGGUGCGAAAGCGUGGGGAGCGAAACAGGAUUAGAUACCCAAGUAGUCCCUGAGCGGGCUGGCAAGGCGCAU